RNAcentral lists this long non-coding RNA (752 nucleotides) under Sus scrofa (pig). RNAcentral describes it as "lncRNA (ENSSSCG00055015310.1)". Lineage: Eukaryota; Metazoa; Chordata; Mammalia; Artiodactyla; Suidae. The record is from RNAcentral.
AAACUGUAAAUAAACCAAGACCGUUCCAGGAGAUUCUAUAGACUUUUGCUGAUGAAUACACAAAAGCAGACCAUCAGACAGACACGCUAGCCUUAAAAAAAUUGACUGACCCUCCCACUCGCCUCUUGGCUGUGUCGUGGAUGGAGUGGAGGGAACCAGGCCGCCUGCCCGGGUCUGGAGCGCUGCUGUCUGCUGAUGAAGGCACAUCUUAUGCUGGAUCCUCACCUGUUUUGCUGUGAAUUGAAAACUAGGCUCUAUACUUGUGUAGUUUCCCAGGUUACCUCUCAAGGCAGCUAGGAUGCCGCCUGCCAGCAGAUUCCAUUUAUUUGGACAAGACCGUGCGAGAUGCCUUCCUAAUUAGCUGUAUUGGCUGCUUGAGUCACCGGGCACUCCAGGUGGGUGCUGGGCUGGGGAGCACCGAGGGAGCUGGGUUGCUAACGAAGGGGGUGAGGCCGUAUGUGAGUUGGAUCCUAAACAAUGAGAAACAUUUACCCCCAAGACUGGGGGUAAGAGACGUUCCAGCCUAAAAGGUCAACUGGGUAACGAACGAAUGAGGUCAACUGGGUUCAGAACGACCUCCUUUGGUAGUUUGGUGUCAGCAGUAUGAAAAUAUGCUUCCUACGCAGUAAGAGAUUCAAUCCGAAGUUUAAAGCAGGGUCACCUCGAGUUUGAGGGAGCACACCCCUGGGAGCCGGUGGGACCCGGUGCAGGUCUUGCCUCACGCUCUCCCCUCUGUGUGGCCUGUAAACCCU